This 264-nucleotide long non-coding RNA is filed under the name Lathyrus oleraceus (garden pea). RNAcentral's name for it is "Pisum sativum (pea) long non-coding RNA (PSAT_LNC000496)". The record is from RNAcentral. Lineage: Eukaryota; Viridiplantae; Streptophyta; Magnoliopsida; Fabales; Fabaceae.
UGGUAUUUGUAAUACCCCAAUUUUUUAUUUAUUAAAGUUAUUUGAUUUAUCAUGACUUUUGUGUAUUUAAUUGAAUAUUGGGUAAUAUUAAUUAAAUAAAUAAGGGUGGUGGGGGUGUGUGACAUUGAGGUGAGAGUAUGGAGAGUAAUUAGAGGCUAGUAAAGUUUGAUUAAAUUAUUAGAGUUUAUUUUAAUAAUUAAAAUAAUAGUAUUUUAUUAGAUUUAUUUAAUUUAAUAGAAAACAAAAAGUUUGGGGCCAAAGUGU